This 109-nucleotide microRNA precursor is filed under the name Myotis lucifugus (little brown bat). Its description in RNAcentral is "mir-9193 microRNA precursor family". It matches the Rfam family "mir-9193 microRNA precursor family". Lineage: Eukaryota; Metazoa; Chordata; Mammalia; Chiroptera; Vespertilionidae. The record is from Rfam by way of RNAcentral.
CCUGCACCGGUGGGGUCCCUUGGCCUGGCCUGUGGCUCUCUGACAUCCCCUGAGGGGUCCCAGAUUGCGAGAGGGUGCAGGCCAGGCCAAGGGACGCCACCGGUGCACG